This 80-nucleotide transfer RNA is filed under the name Pseudaminobacter soli (ex Zhang et al. 2022). RNAcentral describes it as "tRNA-OTHER". The record is from RNAcentral. Lineage: Bacteria; Pseudomonadati; Pseudomonadota; Alphaproteobacteria; Hyphomicrobiales; Phyllobacteriaceae.
GCGCACGUAACCCCCUCGGCUACGAACCGAGAGUAAGGUAAUGGAGGAAGAUGCAGGUUCGACCCCUGCCGUGCGCUCCA